GACGAACGCUGGCGGCGUGCUUAACACAUGCAAGUCGAACGGAAAGGCCCUGCUUUUGUGGGGUGCUCGAGUGGCGAACGGGUGAGUAACACGUGAGUAACCUGCCCUUGACUUUGGGAUAACUUCAGGAAACUGGGGCUAAUACCGGAUAGGAGCUCCUGCUGCAUGGUGGGGGUUGGAAAGUGUCGGCGGUUGGGGAUGGACUCGCGGCUUAUCAGCUUGUUGGUGGGGUAGUGGCUUACCAAGGCUUUGACGGGUAGCCGGCCUGAGAGGGUGACCGGCCACAUGGGGACUGAGAUACGGCCCAGACUCCUACGGGAGGCAGCAGUGGGGAAUAUUGCACAAUGGGCGGAAGCCUGAUGCAGCAACGCCGCGUGCGGGAUGACGGCCUUCUGGUUGUAAACCGCUUUCGCCUGUGACGAAGCGUGAGUGACGGUAAUGGGUAAAGAAGCACCGGCUAACUACGUG
This 468-nucleotide ribosomal RNA is filed under the name uncultured bacterium. RNAcentral's name for it is "partial 16S ribosomal RNA". It matches the Rfam family "Bacterial small subunit ribosomal RNA", at positions 28 to 507 of the family's 1533-position model. The record is from RNAcentral.